CAUCCAAAUAUCGUCUCUGCCAAUAUAGUUCCGGAUAGAUGGCCCGGAUGUUUCUACCGCAGCGCCGCAAAGAAAGCUGUGACUAUUGGAGAAAACGCUGAAGCG
Molecule: non-coding RNA, 105 nt
Filed under: Firmicutes bacterium CAG:170
Lineage: Bacteria; Bacillati; Bacillota
Also listed under: 1 other name
Description: Purine riboswitch aptamer
Rfam family: Purine riboswitch aptamer
About the family: Riboswitches are metabolite binding domains within certain messenger RNAs that serve as precision sensors for their corresponding targets. Allosteric rearrangement of mRNA structure is mediated by ligand binding, and this results in modulation of gene expression.
Source: Rfam by way of RNAcentral